This is a long non-coding RNA of Pogoniulus pusillus (Red-fronted tinkerbird), 392 nucleotides long. RefSeq lists it as uncharacterized. NCBI's taxonomy places the organism in Eukaryota, Metazoa, Chordata, Aves, Piciformes, Lybiidae. The transcript has 2 exons. The record is from RefSeq and is a predicted model, not a curated record.
ACGGCCCCGGCCCGCCCGGCGCCGCCGCCGCCAUCUUUGUGAAGGGCAGUGCCAGCAUUGGCUGCUCUGCGGAUGACGCCAGCGCGCCGUGACGCGCAGCACUCCAGGAGGCUGCACUUGAGCCAGGACUGAGGGGAGAGGAGGUCCCAAGCGAUGGCAGCACCCCCGAUGAGGAGCGAAGCGCUGAGAGGGUCCAAAGCUGGUGCCAAAGCGGGGACAAGAGUAAAGACAGCAGCAGCAGGCAGGAGCCUCAUGGCGCUAACUGGGAAGCAGCCUCGGGCAGCAGGAGGGCAGAGCAAGGGACAAGAAGCUGAAGAACUUCCUGGAGCGGGAGGCCGGAGGCCGGGAGCCAAGCGCCGCGGGUGCCCGAGGGUUAACCGGGACCGCGUCAU